ACACCUACCGAGCGAUCUGGAUCACCGUGGACUGCUUCUUCCUGCUGGUCAUUCUGGGCCUCUUCCUGCUGCAGAGGAGGCGCUUCGGAAACAACAGAGGGGGACGUGCUGAGCACAAGAAUGGCUUUGUAAACUUACUGACGGGCGAGAUGGACACCUUUCUGUGAGGGCCAGGCCGGGCCAGCAGAUGGAAGGACUGUCUGAAGGAGUCCCUGCUAGAAGAAGCAGCAGCAGCAUUCUGAAUGCUUUCUGUUCAGGGCUGCUGAACAAUAUAUUUUUUCUGGGAACUGAGUAGCUGACUUGGGAAUCUGGAUCUCUGGGAAUGCUGCAACUCUAAUUAGGACUGGAAGGGAGUUUUUGUUUGGAGGGGUGGGUUGGUCUUGGGUUA
Polyodon spathula (Mississippi paddlefish) is the source of this 388-nucleotide long non-coding RNA. RefSeq lists it as uncharacterized. The record is from RefSeq and is a predicted model, not a curated record. NCBI's taxonomy places the organism in Eukaryota, Metazoa, Chordata, Actinopteri, Acipenseriformes, Polyodontidae. The transcript has 3 exons.